RNAcentral lists this transfer RNA (74 nucleotides) under Ixodes scapularis (black-legged tick). Its description in RNAcentral is "tRNA-Ser". Lineage: Eukaryota; Metazoa; Arthropoda; Arachnida; Ixodida; Ixodidae. The record is from RNAcentral.
GUCUUGGUUAGCUCCGUUGGUAGAGCGAUCCACCGGAAAAGGAGACGUCGCUGGUUCGAUACCAGGACCAGACG